GGCCUAUCAGCUUGUUGGUGAGGUAAUGGCUCACCAAGGCGUCGACGGGUAGCCGGCCUGAGAGGGUGACCGGCCACACUGGGACUGAGACACGGCCCAGACUCCUACGGGAGGCAGCAGUGGGGAAUAUUGCACAAUGGGCGCAAGCCUGAUGCAGCAACGCCGCGUGAGGGACGACGGCCUUCGGGUUGUAAACCUCUUUUAGCAGGGAAGAAGCGAAAGUGACGGUACCUGCAGAAAAAGCGCCGGCUAACUACGUGCCAGCAGCCGCGAUAAUACGUAGGGCGCAAGCGUUAUCCGGAAUUAUUGGGCGUAAAGAGCUCGUAGGCGGUUUGUCGCGUCUGCUGUGAAAUCCGGAGGCUCAACCUCCGGCCUGCAGUGGGUACGGGCAGACUAGAGUGCGGUAGGGGAGACUGGAAUUCCUGGUGUAGCGGUGGAAUGCGCAGAUAUCAGGAGGAACACCGAUGGCGAAGGCAGAUCUCUGGGCCGUAACUGACGCUGAGGAGCGAAAGCAUGGGUAGCGAACAGGAUUAGAUACCCUGGUAGUCCAUGCCGUAAACGGUGGGCGCUAGGUGUGGGGGUCUUCCACGACUUCCGUGCCGUAGCUAACGCAUUAAGCGCCCCGCCUGGGGAGUACGG
This 639-nucleotide ribosomal RNA is filed under the name uncultured Pseudoclavibacter sp. Its description in RNAcentral is "bacterial SSU rRNA". It matches the Rfam family "Bacterial small subunit ribosomal RNA", at positions 235 to 885 of the family's 1533-position model. Lineage: Bacteria; Bacillati; Actinomycetota; Actinomycetes; Micrococcales; Microbacteriaceae. The record is from RNAcentral.